GAGAGUGGGUAGUCCGCACGAGCGCACCUCACUUUUAGUUGCCAUCAUUUAGUUGGGCACUCUAAAAGAACUGCCAGUGAUAAGCUGGAGGAAGGUGGGGAUGACGUCAAGUCCUCAUGGCCCUUACGUGUUGGGCUACACACGUGCUACAAUGGUACUUACAGUGAGAAGCUAAGGCGCGAGUCUAAGCAAAUCCCUAAAAGGUACCUCAGUUCGGAUUGUACUCUGCAACUCGAGUACAUGAAGCUGGAAUUACUAGUAAUCGCAGAUCAGCGCGCUGCGGUGAAUACGUUCCCGGGUCUUGUACACACCGCCCGUCACACCAUGGAAGUUGGUUACACCUUAAGGCAAAGUGUAAAAUCUUUGACUACGGUACGAUCAGCAACUGGGGUGAAGUCGUAGCAAGGUAGCCGUAGGGGAACCUGCGGCUGGGUCACCUCCUUUCU
Molecule: ribosomal RNA, 446 nt
Filed under: uncultured Pelagibacterales bacterium
Lineage: Bacteria; Pseudomonadati; Pseudomonadota; Alphaproteobacteria; Candidatus Pelagibacterales
Description: bacterial SSU rRNA
Rfam family: Bacterial small subunit ribosomal RNA
Source: RNAcentral